GCCUCUUCUUUGGCUCUGAAAGAGGAAGUGGGACGCCUACGGGGAAGCCCACCUAUCGGGGUCAAUCACGUGGUCAGAGGUGAGCAUCUGCCGGGCUCCCUGCCCCCACCCCAAAUGAAGUCCUGGUUGGAGGCUGGAGGGGGUGGUCAGGGGGCUCCCCGGGCUCCCUCUGCAGAAGGCGGUCCUUUCAGUCGACCUGGUUCCCCACCUGCAUGUGGAACAUCUCCUGCAGGGCACCCCCCACCCGCACCCAACACCAGGGGCUCCUAGUCUGAAAGAAGCAGGGAAAAGAAGGCAGCUCUGGGGCGUCUGGGAACAAGGGGUCAGUGUCUCCUUUGUCCUAAUAAGGACGGCACAGAGCAAGUCCAUCCGCAGCUCCCCGUCAGCAUCCCAGGUCCCCAAACCCCAGUCACUCCGGCCUCUCUCGGGCUCUCAUUUUCCACCCGCGGAGCAGGAGAAAGCCUCAAGAAUUCCCUUUCAUUUCACACCAUUAAUAACUAAGCGCAGGGCCUGAAAUAUUUAUGGCCUGAGCGCAGAGCCUGCUCGGGGCAGGACGAGGCAGAUGGCGGCAAUUUGUAAGCCUGCUGGCCGGCCCCUCUCAGAAGGGACACCUAGAUGGCUUUGGUGGCCAGGAGGGGCCAGCGGUGACCCGGGCAGCCUCGAGCUGUGUGCCACCUGGGGUGCCCCGGAACUGAGGCAGGGCCAUGUUUGCAGCUGGCAGGAGCUCCGCCUUCUCUGCGCUUCUGCUCUGUUACACAGCAACGGGGCCACGGAGACCUCACAGCGUAUGGCAAAAUUAAUGCAAGAUGGUUCACAAAUCUCGAUAUAAAAUAUAAAGCUUUUAGACACAAGAGAAAAUUUUCUGGAGUUAGAGAAGAUGUUCUUAGCCAUGAUAACCAAAAGCAUGAUCCAUAUAAAAAAAAAAAAGUGAUAAAUUGGACUUCAUCAAAAUUUAAAAUUUUUGCUCUGCCAAAGAUCUUGUUAAAGAGAAUUCAACGAUGAGCUGCCGACUAGAAUAAAAUAUCUGCACCUGCCCUACAGGUAGCUAAAGGGGGCCGCCGAAAUACAGUUCUAGCCAUUGCAGUAAUAAGUCUGGGCGGUUCUGGCAAAGAUUCCAUCUCUCUGAUAGAAGGGCGAUGUUUGUGAGAAUAUUCUUCCUUUAGGCGUCUUGGCUACCACCCUUCCUCCCUGCCUGUAGUGUGUCAUGCUCAGAGCUGCAGCCACCAUCAUGCAGUCAUCAAGAUCUAAUGAGAGGAGUUCCCAUCGUGGCCCGGUGGUUAAUGAACCCAACCAGUAGCCACGAGGACAUGGGUUCAAUCCCUGGCCUUGCUCAGCGGGUUAAGGAUGCAAUGUUGCCGUGAGCUGUGGUGUACGUUGCAGACGCAGCUCAGAUCCCCCGUCGCUGUGGCUGUGGCGUGGGCUGGCGGCUACAGCUCUGAUUUGACCCCUAGCCUGGGAACUUCCAUAUCCACAGGUGUGCCUCUAAAAAAGACAAAAAUAAAAUAAAAUAAAAUAAAAAUCUAUAUGAGAGUCACAGAGAUUCAGAUUCAACACUCUGACAUGUUUGAGAUGCUGACCCAGCACCAUGGCUGCCUCCUUCCAGACUGUUGUUGUGUGAGAUUAUUUCAAAUGCAUUUGUUACUUAAUCACUAUUACCUGAUCCUCUGUUACUCUGGGGUGCCGGCGUCCUAAGUGAUACAGAAACAGGGCUACUCCUUUCUCUGGCUCCUCCUCACAGGCUAUCCCAGAUAAGAAUUCAGGGUGCACUUCCUCUGUCGGGGGCUCUGGAAACAAGGAGGGGGUGGUACAAUUCACGCCUGGCCCUCCUGUGCCCGGUGGGUGCAGGCCCAUGCAGUCUGUAGGUUUGCAUCUUUGCAACCCCUUGUCCUCAACCCUGGCUAAGCCGAGCAAAAAUAGAGCUUUCUUGGAAAGAUACCAGGGCAGUUCAUACCAUGAAAGGAUGUGCACAGCAAUAAAUUCUUGGCAAACACAGGAGGCAGAGCUCUGGGAACCUCAGCAGUGGGAAUCCACAGACCUUCUCUCUAGGAUGCUGCCAUAAAAUGACUCCUGCUAUCUCCUUCCAUCCAUUUGUGCCUUGGUUCAACUUUCAGGUUCCCAGGAGGGAGGAUCCAAUUGGUAGAGGUUGGUCGGGUACUCACCCUUUGGAAAAUUCAGUAUAGCCAGGAGCUGGGAGGGUUUGUUGGUCAAGCCUCACUUACUACCUGUUGCCAUCACCAGGGAUGGGCCUCAAGACCCCAAGGAGUGGGGUCUGCCUUUAGGAGAGCUUGGAGGGAGAGCUGCCAGCAAAGAAAAGCCAGAGCUGCAGUAGCAUCGCCCUUCUUGAAGCAAUGGUCAUGGCUGUGACUCUGGGACUGCUUGACUGAAUCCUCAUUAGCCCAUGUAAGAACCUGGACCCAACAGGCUGGACCUGGUCCUGAUCUCUCAUCCCUGCUCCAAAUGGAGGCAACUCAUUGACAGCAGAUGGGCCUGCAAUGGGAAAGCCAUCGGGGGUUUCAGCAGAGGACCGCAUGUUCCCAUCUCACUAUGAACUCACCCUGGCUUUCGGCCGGAAUGAAUAGCGAAGAGGAUGUCCAGAGAGACCAGCUGGGAGACGGACACAGGGACCGGAGGAAGAGGAAGGUGAUAGUGAGUAUGGAGAGAGGGAGGUGUUUCCAUUUUCUUUUCUUUUUUUAUUUUUAGGGCCGAACCUGUGGCAUAAUGGAGGUUCCCAGGCUAGGGGUCAAAUCAAAGCUACAACUGCCAGCCUACACCACAGCCACAGCAACAUGGGAUCCAAGCCACAUCUGCCACCUACACCACAGCUCACGGCAACGCGGGAUCCUUAACCCACUGAGCAAGGCCAGGGAUCGAACCCGCAUCCUCAUGGAUCCUAGUCUGGUUCUUAACCUGCUGAGCCACAAUGGGAACUCCCUUCUUGUUUCCAUUUUUGGUGGAUGGUUAGGGUGAAGAAGAGAGAGGAACCCGAGUUCUGGUCUGAGCACCGGGGUGGAUGUUGCCAUCCAUGGAGAAGAGUAAGCAGGAGACAGAGGGAGUGAGUUCAGGGGACUGCUAAGUUCUCCACACGUAGUGGAUUUAGGUGACAAGCAGGAAGCCCAGAGCUCUGGGUCCAGCCCAGAAAUGUCUAUUUGGGAGCCAAGAGUCUAUAAAUGAUAGACCCAGUAAAAGGAUGUGAUCGCUGGGGAGAGAGGUGAGAACAGAGAGGAGGACGGCGCCCAGCCUGAGCAUGGAGGGCCCCUGUUCCUGCAGGAGGAGCUGUCCGCCAGGUCUGAGAAGGAGCCUCGGGGAGGGGGAAGGGAGCAAGAGAGUGUGUGGUCCUGGAAGCCAAGCCGGGAGGAAGCACCUUCAGUUGGGCUGUGAUUUCCAGGUCCUUGAGGGAGCUGAUGCUAUGCUUCUCUAUACAUCAGCCCCUUCUGGUGAACAACCCCCGAACUCGCGCCUCCUCCUGGCCUCUUCCCAUCCACCCAGCGUCUCAGGGGGAAGGGGAUAAAACCUCGGAAGGCCACCGAAGAAAGAGCUCCCUCCCCCACCUCCCCAGCCUACGCCUACCCUAUUCACUCCGCUGCAAGGAUUCAUUAUAAUUUUUUAGCCACGGAGCAAAGGAAGAGGCGUUAAGCCUGGACUGUUGAGCUGGUUUUGCAAUUACUUUCCCUAUUCUAGCUCCCCUCUGUUCACCCCCACGCUUCUGGGAAAUGCAACUUGUAGAUCCCAGGGCACCUCAGGCGCUCCGGAGCGCACUGAGCAAGCGCAGGACACGUGCACCCCUGGCCGGCCGGCGGAGCUGCCCUCAGGAGGGAAGGUCCAGAUGGUCUUUGGCUCAAGGAGCGCGCUGAUCUCAGCAGCCGAACUGCUUGGGGGCAUUUCACAGGAAAUUGGGGCCAAGGACUAGCAUUUUGUCUUGGCUGCCCCUCAGAGCUGCUCUGGUAGCUUCAUUUAAAAGUGGAAGAUAAAGUGCUUGAGCGUUGGAGAAACCAAGACGAGGGAGCAUAUUUCUUUUCUGUUUAUGACAUCUCGCAGCUGAGCUCCACCUCCGCAGGAUGGAGAGCCCAUGGCCUUGGGAAGGAGAAGGAACUUUGGGGGAAAAAAAAACAGCUGUCGGGAGUCCUAGACCUUCUCACGGGAACAGAGGGAAGGGGACAGACCGGGGCCAGCGCCGCGGAUGACCCGCCCUCACGGAGUUGGUAGAAGGAAGCCCUCGUGGUGGCCAGGCCCCUCUGCAGAGGCCCUCAGCCAUCCUGCGGUAGAAAACUGUCAGCAGAGGUUGACGCUCCAGCAGCGCUUUCUCCACCCUUGUCAGCCCAGCCACACGCGGGAAGCACAAGUGCCCAGGAUCUGGGGACGCAAAACUGCACGUCCCACCUUCUCAUGAGCUAGAGGCCUGGAGAAGGUCAGAGUCUCUUCCUGGGGCACAGAGGAAGGUAAAGGCUGAUGCCGGAGUGCAUGUCAGGGUUUGGAGGCCUGGGUCCCCCUGGCUCUCAGGGCUGACGCAUAAGGCAGGCGAAAGUCAAUGCCACCAAACAGCAGCUCUCUGCAUAGCCCCACUUCUCUCUUCACCUCAGAUGUGCCUGACUGAUGCACCAAAUCCCUUAAGCCCAAAUGCAAGCAGACAAAAGAGCCGGAGCCCUUGCAAGAACAGACCCUGUGUGCCGGAGGAGGAGAGGCAGCCUGGGUGCCAUGGCCCCUACAAGGGCCAGAGCCCCUCGGUCACUUGGUGCCAUUAUAGAAGAGCAGGUGUCCUGCUUCAUCUCUGUGAAGCGGGAGGUAUAAGAAAUAAUGAUAUUUAUUUUAAAGAAAAUUCUGUACAUCAGUUUGCUUUCAGAAAAAAAUAACUUCGAUUAAAGCAGAACACCUUUGUCAAAAAGGAAAUAUUGUUCGUCUUGCGGCUUUUCUACAGUGCAUAAUAGGCAUUGUACGUUCACUCAUUCAUUCAUCAAACACCUUUGGGCCCAGACCACGUGACAGGUGAGAGGGAUACAGAAGUAAAUGUGUCUUCUGCCACUGCCGAUGGGGGAGGGGACUAGCACAAUGUGAAUUAGAGAGUGGAGGUUGGCUCUGGCAAUUCUGAUUGCAAGAAACGCACUGAAAAUAUAAAGACACAGAAUAAAAUCCAAAA
RNAcentral lists this long non-coding RNA (5131 nucleotides) under Sus scrofa (pig). Its description in RNAcentral is "lncRNA (ENSSSCG00015026463.1)". The record is from RNAcentral. Lineage: Eukaryota; Metazoa; Chordata; Mammalia; Artiodactyla; Suidae.